This 1289-nucleotide long non-coding RNA is filed under the name Zonotrichia albicollis (white-throated sparrow). RNAcentral describes it as "lncRNA (ENSZALG00000013499.1)". The record is from RNAcentral. Lineage: Eukaryota; Metazoa; Chordata; Aves; Passeriformes; Passerellidae.
AGAGAAGCUAAGGGGGAACUAUCUACCUGCUUCCACUUCUCAUUUCUAUGGACUAGACAGAUAUCUGCAUCAUUGCUUAACCUCAAGCUAAGAUUAGUGGCAUUAGAAGCUUUCUAUACAACUCACCGGAGAGGUAGGAGGGAUUUUUUCCACAAUCAAAUGCUUAUUUCCAGUAUCCAGCAGAAUACAAGUCUCCUGGUUGAACUGCAAAUUCAAAACUGACUAUGAAUGACCAAGGGAAUGAUACAAUUUCUUUAGCCAGGUCACAGAAGGAUGGAAAGGCUCACCAUGCCUGCCUGUGGGAACUUGGCUGUUGAUCUGCACAGCAGCAGGAGCUGGGGUUCCCUGCAAGGGAUGGUGUCACUAAACUUGAGCUCACUUGUCACAAUGGAAUUUAAUUAUCUGCUGGAGAGAAGCCCUGACAGCUGUGGCGUAGGUUUUUCAAUGUGAUGUUGCUGGAUCGCAAGAAAAAUAUCAAGGGCUGGUGAGAACAGCCAUGUUCUAAAAGCAUCUCUGGCUGGGUUAGCCCACUGCCUACCAAAGAGGGCGUAAGUUGGAAGAGUUGGAAGCACAGUGUUUGUUUACCACAUUGCCCCUGGGUUUGCCUCUGGCUUGUGCAUCCUGGGGGAGAGGCAGUGGGUCUGCUACUGGUUCCUCAAACAUUGACAUCUGUGUUGGCCUUCUGUAGUGAAACCAUUUUCCUAGCAGCAGCAUCAGGCUCUUCUCCACACUAUUUCCCUUAUCAGCACACUGCGUGGUGCGUACGCAGUGUCUCGGUGCAGCCGGGUGAGUGUGUUGUCUGCACAGUAAUCACCAAGAACAAAGACUCGUCUGCACGGUCAGUGAGCAGGGCUGGGGGCCGUGUGCCACACGUGUGCCUGAGACACUGCCUGGCUUUGCAGGGCUGUGGCAGGAGGGAGCUGAGCCUGUGCAAGCCCCAAACCACACUCAGCGCCCACCUUGCAUGGCUUGGGGCCCACAGGCACCGGUCACUGUGUCCCACAGGAGCCAUCCCAAGCACAGGAGAGUGGGAAGUGCUCCUUGGCCAUGCUCAUCCAUGGCAUCAGGGAUCAGCACUGUGAGGACAGGAAGUGGCAACCUGCCUUUUUAAAGUUCUUGAGGAACUUUGACACAGUUUGAUACUUUCAUAUCGGUGUUCCUUGCCAAAGACAAGGGAAAUCCUACGAUUGUAGUAAAUAUUUAUCUUAAACGAAAUGAGAAUAAUUAAAUGGCACUUUCAUUGCCAUAUUCUAUUCAAUUAUGCUGACUAUUAACUAAUUGCUGACUCA